AAUGCAUAAUAUAUAUACAAAACAUAGCAAGUCCAACACAUGGAACUAAUUUAUGACCAAAAGAGGUAUCUAUCCCAAAAUAUGAACUCUUAAACUGAAAAGAUAAUUCAUACAAUGCUUGACAAUCUAUGGCUCAACUUGAUAGAUCAACUGGCCCAGUAAUGUUCCACUCAGCUACUAUCUGAUAAGAGAAAUAAUGAUAAAAAUGUGAGCCUAUAACUCAGUGAGUGGAUAGUUGCAAAAAUAUAAUUUUCCAUUCAUAAAACCUUUAUGAAAAUUGACAUAUAGCAUAAAAUUUCUUUUCACAGACAUAUAAACUAAAUUAUUUAUUCUUUAAACUGAAUAGGUUGAGUUCCGUAGCUUAAAAUCUGAUGAUAUAAUCAAAACUAAAAUAUAUUGUAAUCAUAAACAUCUUUAUUCUGUAUACUGCAUUUCUAAAAUCUAAUAAGCUAUGUGAUACUAAAAUAUCACACCAAAAAUGUACUCGAAAUAACCAUACUCGUGAAUCGAUUAAUCUCGAUAUACAUAGCAAGGUUAUUAAAUUCUGAAAUUCUAUAAUGCUGAAAUUCUGUAAUUCUGGUCGUACGCACGCAGAGCUAUAAAAUGGUCAUACACUAUGGAAACACAUUCACAAUAGUACAGAGCGGGUAAAAUCACUAUAUUGAUCAUACGCUGUGGAAACACAUUCACACCAGCGCAGAGUGGGUAAAAUAAUCAUAUGAAGUCAUGAACUGUGGAAACACAUUCACACCAAUGCAGACGAGGGUAAAAUCACUUGGGUACUUUCUGGUGGUUUUAAAAUAACUUUGAAUAUAUUGAAAUAUUUAAUACUAAAAUAAUAUGUCAAUGAAAUAAUUUAACUGAACUGAAUUUAACUUUUAAAAACAUUUGAUAAUAAAAUUCAUUUUAUUCUGAAAAAUCAUGCUAUCAACUCAACUUAUAAAAUACGUAACUUCAAAAUUAAAUAAAUAUUUAUUUCUAAAAAAUAAGCUUAUCCACUCACAUAAUACAAGCUGAACCUAAGCUGGUCGAUAGGCUCUU
RNAcentral lists this long non-coding RNA (1041 nucleotides) under Olea europaea (common olive). RNAcentral describes it as "long non-coding RNA (OEUR_LNC003327)". Lineage: Eukaryota; Viridiplantae; Streptophyta; Magnoliopsida; Lamiales; Oleaceae. The record is from RNAcentral.